RNAcentral lists this long non-coding RNA (699 nucleotides) under Mus musculus (house mouse). RNAcentral describes it as "predicted gene, 47861". The record is from RNAcentral. Lineage: Eukaryota; Metazoa; Chordata; Mammalia; Rodentia; Muridae.
AGCAAAUUCUUUCAUAUGAAACAACAAAGUCUCAUCCAACCGCAUCGCUAAUAACUAAAACGAAACACAAAACAAAUAAAGAUCAGUUGAUUACUUUCUUCGCAUUUGUUAUGAAAUACUAGUCUUCCAUUAUGUUGAUAUACUAGGAACACCUUCAUCUUGCUAGCAUUGAAUGCCAGGAGAUCUGCUUGCCUAAGCUAUCAGCUGACAUUGGGUUUCAAGGAUGGGUAGACAGAUGCAACACACAGGAAGAAAAACUAUAAAGAAGCCUAGAAAAUGUUCCUAUCACUGCCAACACAAGUGCACGUACAAAGUAAGUCAUCUGAGCAUAUAUUCCUCAAUCAUAAGCAUAACGAGGGGAUACUUGGUUGUAACGUAUCCAGAUGUUGUGGCUAUAUGGACAUUUCUCCCAACAAACAACAGGAUAGAAUGAACUCCACAGGAAAAUACUGCCCUGAUGAUUGGUUGCAAAAACAAGGGAAGGGCUACAAGUUUGACAUAAGCUUUAAGUCAUGGAUUGAUAGUGAAAUAUCCUGUGCAGUCAAGAAAUCACAUCUCUUGGUGAUCAAAGACAAGGGAGAAUUGGUUUGGACAAAAGAAAUCAGAAGUGUUUUCAUAGCUGAUGCUCAGCUGGGUCUUCCUUCUCAGGAUUUCAUUCAGAGUAAAAUUCAUGAUGAAAUGUACUUUUGGAUUGGGUGA